UGACGGCCAUACCAUGCUAAAAACACCGGUUCCCGUCCGAUCACCGCAGUUAAGCAUCAUCGGGCGUGGUCAGUACUUGGGAGGGUAACCACCUGGGAACACCGCAUGCCGUU
This 113-nucleotide ribosomal RNA is filed under the name Trichonephila clavata. The record is from RNAcentral. Lineage: Eukaryota; Metazoa; Arthropoda; Arachnida; Araneae; Nephilidae.